Molecule: ribosomal RNA, 429 nt
Filed under: Verrucomicrobiota bacterium
Lineage: Bacteria; Pseudomonadati; Verrucomicrobiota
Description: Verrucomicrobia bacterium partial 16S ribosomal RNA
Rfam family: Bacterial small subunit ribosomal RNA
Source: RNAcentral
UGGGGAAUUUAGGACAAUGGGCGAAAGCCUGAUCCAGCAAUGCCGCGUGUGUGAAGAAGGCCUUCGGGUUGUAAAGCACUUUUGUCCGGAAAGAAAUGGCUCUGGUUAAUACCUGGGGUCGAUGACGGUACCGGAAGAAUAAGGACCGGCUAACUACGUGCCAGCAGCCGCGGUAAUACGUAGGGUCCAAGCGUUAAUCGGAAUUACUGGGCGUAAAGCGUGCGCAGGCGGUUGUGCAAGACCGAUGUGAAAUCCCCGGGCUUAACUUGGGAAUUGCAUUGGUGACUGCACGGCUAGAGUGUGUCAGAGGGGGGUAGAAUUCCACGUGUAGCAGUGAAAUGCGUAGAGAUGUGGAGGAAUACCGAUGGCGAAGGCAGCCCCCUGGGAUAACACUGACGCUCAGGCACGAAAGCGUGGGGAGCAAACAGG